ACGGAAGGCAGCAGUGGGGAAUAUUGCACAAUGGGCGAAAGCCUGAUGCAGCGACGCCGCGUGAGUGAAGAAGUAUCUCGGUAUGUAAAGCUCUAUCAGCAGGGAAGAAAAUGACGGUACCUGACUAAGAAGCCCCGGCUAACUACGUGCCAGCAGCCGCGGUAAUACGUAGGGGGCAAGCGUUACCCGGAUUUACUGGGUGUAAAGGGAGCGUAGACGGUUUGGCAAGUCUGAAGUGAAAUGCGGGGGCUCAACUCCUGAACUGCUUUGGAAACUGUCGAACUAGAGUGCAGGAGAGGUAAGUGGAAUUCCUAGUGUAGCGGUGAAAUGCGUAGAUAUUAGGAGGAACACCAGUGGCGAAGGCGGCUUACUGGACUGUAACUGACGUUGAGGCUCGAAAGCGUGGGGAGCAAACAGGAUUAGAUACCCUGGUA
RNAcentral lists this ribosomal RNA (434 nucleotides) under uncultured Lachnospiraceae bacterium. Its description in RNAcentral is "partial 16S ribosomal RNA". It matches the Rfam family "Bacterial small subunit ribosomal RNA", at positions 341 to 792 of the family's 1533-position model. The record is from RNAcentral. Lineage: Bacteria; Bacillati; Bacillota; Clostridia; Lachnospirales; Lachnospiraceae.